This is a long non-coding RNA of Dermochelys coriacea (leatherback sea turtle), 199 nucleotides long. RefSeq lists it as uncharacterized. NCBI's taxonomy places the organism in Eukaryota, Metazoa, Chordata, Testudines, Dermochelyidae. The transcript has 3 exons. The record is from RefSeq and is a predicted model, not a curated record.
UGCUCCCCCAGCCCAGGUCCCAGCUGCUUCCCGGAGUGGCACGGGGGCUUGGCAGGCAGGUAGGGAGCGAGCCUGCCCUGCCCCCGGUGUGCGCUGGGCCGGAGCCGCUCUAGGUAAAUGCUGGUGGAGCAGGGGUGCCAAGGGGAGCUGGCAGGCAGCAGAAAAUAACCCCGUGGGCUGCAUGUGGCCCACAGGCCAC